GCACCGGCCAGCUAGCCCCUUUGUGCGGCGGGGGCUGCGGAGUGCUCCCUCCAAGACCGGUUGCACCCCGCUUUCCUGGCCAGGACUCUGGGCGCGGCAGCUACAAAGACGACGCCGGCUGCGCUCGCGGGACCAGAGGGAGGGAGGCUGCGGACGAGUGCGGGGAGGAGUUUGAGAUGGGAGGCGCUUGCAGGGGCUCCCCCAGUUCUGCGCUGUGAGCCGGGGCACAAAGAGCCCUCUGCACUAGCGCCGCAGGACCGCGGACCCGAGUUGGAGGCAUCUGUCCACCCAUGUGGUUCCAGACACGUUCAUGUGGCCACCAUGACCCCGUCGGCAUCACAGGGGUAACCAAGAGAGCAGCAAGUUCCUGGGACAGAGGAGACAGAAGGGAAUUUCCAGGUUCUUCAGGACGUUCACAACCACACUGAGAAGCAUCUUUGCAGAUAAGUAUUUAAACUUACCAGCCCAUAGCCUACCAGCCUGCCCUCUUCUGGUCUGUGCAGGAAAGUGUAGUAUCCUAGAAUGCCAAAGUGGGAGGGGAAAUGGGUGAUGUAGCUCAUUCUCUUUUCUACCUCUAUGGAAGAAAGAAAGA
RNAcentral lists this long non-coding RNA (592 nucleotides) under Homo sapiens (human). Its description in RNAcentral is "non-protein coding lnc-CRYBA4-52:18". The stretch from base 137 to 271 matches the Rfam family "Myocardial infarction associated transcript exon 1". The record is from RNAcentral. Lineage: Eukaryota; Metazoa; Chordata; Mammalia; Primates; Hominidae.